This is a non-coding RNA of Acanthosepion pharaonis, 96 nucleotides long. NCBI's taxonomy places the organism in Eukaryota, Metazoa, Mollusca, Cephalopoda, Sepiida, Sepiidae. The record is from the annotation of a GenBank genome assembly.
UGAAAACACUGAUUCUUGUUUGAUCACCGAAGUUAAGCAAUGUCAAGCCUGGUUAGUACUUAGAUGGGGUAGCAUUUGAGAACACUGGGUACUGUA